This 1055-nucleotide ribosomal RNA is filed under the name uncultured bacterium. RNAcentral describes it as "bacterial SSU rRNA". It matches the Rfam family "Bacterial small subunit ribosomal RNA", at positions 43 to 1091 of the family's 1533-position model. The record is from RNAcentral.
CAGGCUUAACACAUGCAAGUCGAGCGGUAACAUUUCUAGCUUGCUAGAAGAUGACGAGUGGCGGACGGGUGAGUAAUACUUAGGAAUCUGCCCAUUAGUGGGGGACAACAUUCGGAAACGGAUGCUAAUACCGCAUACGCCCUACGGGGGAAAGCGGGGGAUCUUCGGACCUCGCGCUAAUGGAUGAGCCUAAGUCGGAUUAGCUAGUUGGUGAGGUAAAGGCUCACCAAGGCGACGAUCCGUAGCUGGUCUGAGAGGACGAUCAGCCACACUGGGACUGAGACACGGCCCAGACUCCUACGGGAGGCAGCAGUGGGGAAUAUUGCACAAUGGGGGAAACCCUGAUGCAGCCAUGCCGCGUGUGUGAAGAAGGCCUUCGGGUUGUAAAGCACUUUCAGUUGUGAGGAAAGGUGUGUAGUUAAUAACUGCAUACUGUGACGUUAACAACAGAAGAAGCACCGGCUAACUUCGUGCCAGCAGCCGCGGUAAUACGAGGGGUGCAAGCGUUAGUCGGAAUUACUGGGCGUAAAGCGUACGUAGGCGGUUUUAUAAGCAAGAUGUGAAAGCCCAGGGCUCAACCUUGGAACUGCAUUUUGAACUGUAAGACUAGAGUACUGUAGAGGGUGGUGGAAUUUCCAGUGUAGCGGUGAAAUGCGUAGAGAUUGGAAGGAACAUCAGUGGCGAAGGCGGCCACCUGGACAGAUACUGACGCUGAGGUACGAAAGCGUGGGGAGCGAACAGGAUUAGAUACCCUGGUAGUCCACGCCGUAAACGAUGUCAACUAGCCGUUUGUUUCCUAGAGAAGUGAGUGGCGCAGCUAACGCACUAAGUUGACCGCCUGGGGAGUACGGCCGCAAGGUUAAAACUCAAAUGAAUUGACGGGGGCCCGCACAAGCGGUGGAGCAUGUGGUUUAAUUCGAUGCAACGCGAAGAACCUUACCAUCCCUUGACAUCCAGAGAAGCGACUAGAGAUAGACGUGUGCCUUCGGGACUCUGUGACAGUGCUGCAUGGCUGUCGUCAGCUCGUGUUGUGAAAUGUUGGGUUAAGUCCCGCA